AACAUCAGUAGGUUGUAUUAAUUGUAUAACAUACUCUAGAGACCUUGCAGCUGUUUCUGACUCAUCAGAGCUCAGUCCCAGCUGCCAACCACAGCUAAAAGUUGAAUGUUUUUUGACCUUACCAACAAUAAGGCCACAGCUAGCAUUUCGUUCCUGUUUCUUAGAUAAACUAGCAUCUCGUUAUAUUAGUCGAAAUAUUAGUGGUGCACUGUAAUCUUUACAGUGUAUUAUCAUGAUUUGAUUUCCUAAUAACUGAUAUGCAAUAUUC
RNAcentral lists this small nucleolar RNA (268 nucleotides) under Ascoidea rubescens DSM 1968. RNAcentral's name for it is "Small nucleolar RNA snR37". It matches the Rfam family "Small nucleolar RNA snR37". Lineage: Eukaryota; Fungi; Ascomycota; Saccharomycetes; Ascoideales; Ascoideaceae. The record is from Rfam by way of RNAcentral.